This 698-nucleotide long non-coding RNA is filed under the name Mytilus galloprovincialis (Mediterranean mussel). The record is from RNAcentral. Lineage: Eukaryota; Metazoa; Mollusca; Bivalvia; Mytilida; Mytilidae.
AUAAUAACUUGUACAUUAUUUUACCUUGGCCUACUCGAAGUUCAUAACAAAUCGUUUCCCUUUUCACAAAUAAUUUAUAACUUAACCAAAAGAGACUAAAGAUUUAGAUAUUGGAGACAAUGUAAUAAUGCCAGUGUAAAGAGUAGACCAAAGACUGAUGAACUGUUAAAUUAUCAAAGGUGUUGUGCUAAAUAUUGCAGAAAAUGGAUACAAAAUAGGAACAAAAGUUGGAAUCGUGAUUGGAUUAAUGAGUCAGAAUCAAAUCGAAAAAUUUCAGAGAAAGGAUUUGACAAUAUUGAACACCGGACUGGUUAUCAUCAGGAAAGCAGUAACAUUUGUGUCUGGAUGGUUGUAAGGGAGCUACCAUUUGGGAGCUAGGAUGAAAUUUGUAUAAAAAUAGGCAGGACAGGAGUUUUGAGUAAAAAAAAAAGGCAGGAUGAGACACUUGCAAAAAAAAAAGUCAGGACUACAAUUUAGGUAAUAAAAAGUCAGGAUAAACUAAAAAAAAAAAAAGCAGGACCGAACAGAGUGAAAAAUAAAAAGGCAGGACAGAGAUUACAGGUAAAAAAAAAUGCAGGACAAAAUUUUCAUCCUAGCCCCCCCCCCCCCCCCAUAAAAAUCAAAUGGUAGCUCCCUAAGACAGGCAAAUGUAAACGCAAAAGAUUGGAACUUAUUGUGUCAUUCCAGAUGUAAUGCUU